RNAcentral lists this transfer RNA (69 nucleotides) under Scinax tropicalia. RNAcentral's name for it is "tRNA-Val". It matches the Rfam family "tRNA". Rfam says of the family: Transfer RNA (tRNA) molecules are approximately 80 nucleotides in length. Their secondary structure includes four short double-helical elements and three loops (D, anti-codon, and T loops). Further hydrogen bonds mediate the characteristic L-shaped molecular structure. tRNAs have two regions of fundamental functional importance: the anti-codon, which is responsible for specific mRNA codon recognition, and the 3' end, to which the tRNAs corresponding amino acid is attached (by aminoacyl-tRNA synthetases). tRNAs cope with the degeneracy of the genetic code in two manners: having more than one tRNA (with a specific anti-codon) for a particular amino acid; and 'wobble' base-pairing, i.e. permitting non-standard base-pairing at the 3rd anti-codon position. The record is from RNAcentral. Lineage: Eukaryota; Metazoa; Chordata; Amphibia; Anura; Hylidae.
CAAAACGUAGCUUAACUAAAGCAUCUUGCUUACACCAAGAAUAUAUUUGUUAAACUCAAAUCGCUUUGA